AUUCUUACGCUUGGGGCAAUAACUUAGCUAGCUAGUGAGGUACUAACUAAGGCGUAUUUAUUGCUGGUUGAAAACUAUUUUUAAACCCUCUUUUCGGUCUAGGUUUUGUCUAGGUCGUAGAGAAUUUUUGAAAAAAUUCGCUAA
This 144-nucleotide small nuclear RNA is filed under the name Cephalotus follicularis. Its description in RNAcentral is "U4 spliceosomal RNA". It matches the Rfam family "U4 spliceosomal RNA". From Rfam's summary of the family: U4 small nuclear RNA (U4 snRNA) is a component of the major U2-dependent spliceosome. The structure of U4 snRNA from yeast and human has been reported. U4 snRNA presents a k-turn RNA motif in the 5p-SL related to recognition of Snu13 protein. The record is from Rfam by way of RNAcentral. Lineage: Eukaryota; Viridiplantae; Streptophyta; Magnoliopsida; Oxalidales; Cephalotaceae.